AAUUCUCAAAUCACAUCUUUUGUGUUGUGGCUUGGAUAGUUGGGUGUUGCCUGAUUAAAAUAAUUAGGCUCUCCUUAAAUGUAUAAGUGGUGCAUUUAGAAACUUGUUAGGUGUUGUAAAUUAUUAAUACAUCUAUGUUUCUGAAAUAUGCUGCUUCUAACCAAAAAUCUCUUUUUUGAUGA
This 182-nucleotide unclassified non-coding RNA is filed under the name uncultured Inocybe. RNAcentral's name for it is "sequence contains ITS2". The record is from RNAcentral. Lineage: Eukaryota; Fungi; Basidiomycota; Agaricomycetes; Agaricales; Cortinariaceae.